This 670-nucleotide long non-coding RNA is filed under the name Microcebus murinus (gray mouse lemur). RNAcentral's name for it is "lncRNA (ENSMICG00000048739.1)". Lineage: Eukaryota; Metazoa; Chordata; Mammalia; Primates; Cheirogaleidae. The record is from RNAcentral.
GAAAAGAGAAGGAAAGAGGAUUGGAAUCCCCAAAUCAUCCAAUUCACCUUCCAAGCAAACCUAACUUGUUUCCACCCACAUCCAAUGAUGUCUGUUCAUUCCAAUCCCACAGAGCAGGCGGGAUGCAGAAGACACUUGCCAAGUUUGGAGUUGGACUGUUCGUGCAGCCUGGGCCCCUGGCCACCUGCUGGCUCCCUCAGGCUCCUCGACUGGGAACCCUGGGUCUCGCAGCUCUCAGGAGGCAGCUGUGGCGACCGUGGCACAAGGUUCCAUGAACGAUGCCGCUUCUGUUGCAGGAAGUUUGCUCAUCACCUUUGGUGCUCCGAGACUCCACUGCGACUCACGCCAGCCCUGCACAGGGGCAGUGGCCCUGAGAGUCUGGCCUGCUUAAUUAUGAUUAAUUGCCACAUGGAUAAUCAGAUACAGUUUCAAAAGGUUGGAAAUGACAUUCCAAGGACACCAGGGAAGACACAAGGUACGCCUUUGUUCACAGGAAGAAAAGGCAGGUCCCUCACUCAGCCCCGUAACCUUUUCUUAUUUUAACAAUUCCAAACAGAAUUAAUACCAUCAGUAUAUUGUUCCCACUCCGGGGAAUUGAACUUCAACUGUACAAUUUCUGCAGCUGUCAGUGUUUUCAGACCUCCUGUCAAUAAUGCAAUGUUGGGGUGCC